CUGGCACAGGAUGUCUCAAACAAGUGACGCAUUAGUAGGGUUCUAUUUGUAAACGUUCCUUCCGCGUACUGUGGCGAGAUGUGCUAAUUACAAGCCAGCGACGUAGACUCGGAAAGAAAUCCAGAAUUUACGGACGCUGCAGGACUCUCGGUCUUUCUUUCACUCCUAUCUCUAUGGUUAGCAAGUGACCACUCUACACUCUGGAGGACUCAGCGAGCGCAGAAGAGCCCCAGGCGACCUUAUUGGCACGUGACCGGAAGUCUGACUUGCUAUUGGUUAAUGCUGGUAAAGCCCGCCCAACAGCCUCCUGUCAGCUCCUUUAAGUAGACUCCGUGGGGAAGCGCUCAGUCUUUCGGCGACUGUGAGGUUCGAGAGGUGAGGCUCUGUUUGUGGUGGGUCCUGGCGCCUAGGCCCGGGUCUCCGGGCCCUGGAGCCGGGUGGGUCGCGGGCGCCCUGCGGUGAUGACAUGCCAAAAAAAGCACGUGUUAGACUGCUGACGCGGGUGAUGCGAACUACAGUCUGAGCCGAGCCUCCGCGGCGGCGGCGGGGAGGGAACGGACCUGCGGGCGCAUGUCCUCUAACCCACUGCUAUCGUUCUUGCAGAUUCCUGCCGGGCCGAGAACGUAGACCACCUUCUACUCCCCUUCGCCCUUUCCCCGAAGCCUUUGAAUAAAAUGGUUUGAUCCCAGCCCGGGUCUUGGUGUUUCUUUUCGCGACGCGCUGCCUUUGAGCCCCCGCCGCGCCUGCGCGUGGCGCCGGGGGUCAGGCUGCAGCGCCAGAGCACGCGCUUGCGCAUAACUGGGGCCGCGCGGUCCUCCGCCGGCGGCCCUUUUAACCGCGAGCCACACGUCCGCACCCGGCUGCAAGGGGGUAGGCGACGUUGUGGGAAGUGCCCUGGAGAGACUACGGGGAUCCUAUAGGCCCCGCUACUCCGUUUCCCGCACAUUCCUAGUUCUUUUGUGGAAGUCCUGUCCUCUCCGUGAUUAUCGGGACCUGCAGCAUGCUUAUUCAGGCUUCCCAGUGGAGCUGACUGGCACUCACACUGUUGGUAAAGGAUCCAGACAAGAGGCUGUGUGUUAUCAAACUACCUAAAAACUUCCACCUGGCAUGGACCAAUGUUUUAAAAACUACAACAAAAACAUCAAAUUGCUAUAAACAUAUCUAAACACUCUCAAGAUCUAUACUUAUCUGUGGAUUAAUAACAAAUGUACUGGGUAGCACUAUCCCAGAAGCCUUUAAUUUCAUCUUCCACUGAGCAGUGGCAUCUGUAACCGAUACAUCUUAAAGCAUGAAAUUAUGUAAGUGAAGGAUGUUGUGAGGCACUUACACCCCAGGCCAGGCAGAGAGUAAGAGCUCUACAGAGGGCAGCUCUUCUAACUGGUGGAAAGAACUGGCUUUAGAGAGGAGGAAGACCGAGAAUAGAAACAUGUGAAGAUGAAGCUUUAAAUGUGAAUGAACCGUUCACAGAAGAAAGGAGAAUUGGAUUUGUGACAAACAUUAAGGUUCCAUGAAAAAUGUGUGUAAGUGCUUCUGCCCAGAGGGCACUUUCCACAAUGUCAAGGGUACGCAGGCUGGAUUUUUAUGGCCACGCAACAGGUUGUACGCACCAUAU
Panthera uncia (snow leopard) is the source of this 1612-nucleotide long non-coding RNA. RefSeq lists it as uncharacterized. Lineage: Eukaryota; Metazoa; Chordata; Mammalia; Carnivora; Felidae. The transcript has 3 exons. The record is from RefSeq and is a predicted model, not a curated record.